Molecule: ribosomal RNA, 400 nt
Filed under: uncultured bacterium
Lineage: Bacteria
Description: bacterial SSU rRNA
Rfam family: Bacterial small subunit ribosomal RNA
Source: RNAcentral
UGGGGAAUAUUGGACAAUGGGGGAAACCCUGAUCCAGCGAUGCCGCGUGAAUGAAGAAGGCCUUAGGGUUGUAAAGUUCUUUCACCUGUGACGAUGAUGACGGUAGCAGGAGAAGAAGCCCCGGCUAACUCCGUGCCAGCAGCCGCGGUAAUACGGAGGGGGCUAGCGUUGUUCGGAAUAACUGGGCGUAAAGGGCGCGUAGGCGGUUUAAUAAGUUAGGCGUGAAAGCCCCGGGCUUAACCUGGGAGGUGCGUUUAAGACUGUUAAACUGGAGUGCGAGAGAGGAAAGUGGAAUUCCUAGUGUAGAGGUGAAAUUCGUAGAUAUUAGGAAGAACACCAGUGGCGAAGGCGACUUUCUGGCUCGCAACUGACGCUGAGGCGCGAAAGCGUGGGGAGCAAA